UAAACUUUGCAUUUCAGCAUAAAAAUCUUAAAUGCCUAACGUGCUUUACGUAUUGUCUGUGCCAACCGCGAUCGCUUCGUAAUUGAGCAAUAAAAAAUCGACAAGAAGCAGACACUAACUACAAAAGCCAAUUGCUCUGGGAUCCAAGUGCCCUACAGUGGCGGUUUUAAACAUCGUAACUUAAAUACAUGUACAUACAUAUGUGGAUAGCAGAGCUGUUAUCAAUUUGUAUUGUGAAGAUUAUCUAUUUUUAUGAGCAAUCUGUAGGGUACUUUAGAGGCAUCUAAACACUCAAUAGCUACUCCUCAUCUAGUUUAUUUCAAAGGAAACAAAUUUACACCAUACUAAUUGAAAGCAUGAAAAUUAUCUUAAAACAACCUUGCCACCUGACGACAAGCGCUUUGAAUUAAGCCCCAGAAAUCGCCAAUAUUUUUUAAUAUGAUCGGGGAAUGUAACAUCAAGCAUAUUUAGAAAAAUAGUAUUUUAUUUAAUUGAUGUUAUAAACACAAACGAUUGGAACGCUGGUUCCGAGUUAGAUGAAAGGAAUGUACGAGUAAUUACGAGUAAAAUGGUGAGCUUAGUUUGAGCCUGUUAUGCGGAGAUUCGACAUACUUAGUGGACUUCGUCUUCACUGCUCACAUGUGAAGCAAUUGAUGAGGGGUUGUAUGCAGCACGGUAUUUAUCAAAUGCAUCCGGCUGGCAAUGCUACUAACUAAUUACUUGCAGAUCAUGUACGAAAGAAGAGCCGAUUUGUGCGUUAAUUUAAAAUUAUUUUUAAAUACAAUACAAUACUAUACAUACGAGUAUUUGCGUACAUAUGUAUCUUCGUAUGCAUGUUUGUAUAUUUUACCCAUUCGGUUGCGGCUCGCUAAAUUUUGUCUUAAUGUGAUUACGUUAUUUAUUUAUAACUUUUCUUUUUUUGCAGUAAGCAGGGAACUCUUAAAGGGAUAUUUUUAGUUUUAAAAAGCAAACGAAAAUUUCUGCCUUCCUGAGCACAAACAUAUUUACGCCACUCUUGGGCAGAUGUGCUAUUUAGCAAAAUAAUCGAAACACCUGCCACCUGUGUGCUGUCACAAUCGCUCGGCUUUAGAGACUCGUAAAGAGUUGAUUGGUAUUGUGCGACAUUAAAAUGUAACGCCAUCUUAAAAAAUGCUGAACGAAUGUUUAUUUUGUACACCAUAGCAGUACGCCAUCAUUAAUAACUGUUGCGGAAUGGCCGCCACCGAAUACUGACUUGUUGUUGUAACGAUUUAUUGCUUAGCACACAUACAAUACCAUACUAUGUGUCAUUUAUCACCUCCAGCUUCAGGUAAUGCGUGAAAUGAAAGUCUGGUAGACUAAUGGGUGACGCUGUUGCUAUUUCUAUUGUCUAUGAUUCGUCAUCGUACCUGAACUUACAUAUUGAAUAACAUUGUAGAUAAUUUCUCAUGGUCACACGCAGGAAAAGUGUAAAAUUGUUUAUUUUUUUUUGGAUUUUCUUGCUGCCGUAGCUGAUCAGAAGCACCCCCCGGAAAAAAGGUGUCUGCCAGGAAGGAAAAAUUUUCUACUUAAAAUUAUCUCAAACCUAAAAACCAAAUAAACAAAUAUCAUAAUAACACAUUGUAUA
Bactrocera oleae (olive fruit fly) is the source of this 1606-nucleotide non-coding RNA. The record is from RefSeq and is a predicted model, not a curated record. NCBI's taxonomy places the organism in Eukaryota, Metazoa, Arthropoda, Insecta, Diptera, Tephritidae.